This is a small nuclear RNA of Lynx canadensis (Canada lynx), 177 nucleotides long. Its record names the gene U2. It matches the Rfam family "U2 spliceosomal RNA". From Rfam's summary of the family: U2 is a small nuclear RNA (snRNA) component of the spliceosome (involved in pre-mRNA splicing). Complementary binding between U2 snRNA (in an area lying towards the 5' end but 3' to hairpin I) and the branchpoint sequence (BPS) of the intron results the bulging out of an unpaired adenosine, on the BPS, which initiates a nucleophilic attack at the intronic 5' splice site, thus starting the first of two transesterification reactions that mediate splicing. NCBI's taxonomy places the organism in Eukaryota, Metazoa, Chordata, Mammalia, Carnivora, Felidae. The record is from Ensembl.
ACUGCUUCUUGACCUUUUCGCUAAGAUCAAGUGUAGUAUCUGUUCUUACCAGCUUAAUUUACCCAGGAUUGUUAAAGCGAUGUUAGAAAGUUUAUCUGUGGACAUGGAAAGAUGUUCAUAAUAUAUUUCCAAGUGAACAUGACAAUAGCAACAGGAUGUAAAAUUGUAUGAAAAGUA